CAGAGACGGCGGCAUCUGAAGCACCUCAUCCACGGGUUCCCUGUGGAUCAAACAUGCGAUGCGCCAUUAUGAACACCAGAUGUCACUAUAACAGGCGCAGCAAAUGAAGCGUUUACUUGUGAUGUAUCUCAAGCUCAGGCUCAUCUCUGCUGGAUGUCGUUGGGGUAAACUCCCCUUAUCUCCUGCCAGAGCUGCUCGGGCAGUGUCAGCGGCGGGACUGGCCCACGAGAUAAAACGCGGUUGGGACACUGAAUGGGUCCCAGACAACAUCAGUGAUUAGUUGCAGCAGCUCGGCCAGAAGAUGUGCCAGUUAUAGCAGAGGGAAUGGAGGCAUCCACAGUUUCCUGUGGAUUGGACACAGCAAACCCAGAGGAUGUACAGGAAAUGAGCACAGAUGAAGCAUGACAGGGGUGGUAUGAGCCAUGACUGCUUUCACUUGAUCACCCUGCCGGACUCUGAUUGGUUGGAUAACUCCAGAUGGCCCCCCUGAUAGGGGAAGGGGUUUUGAGACCAUGCCUCGGAAACCACUGACUGUCAACUCAUCUACUUGGCAGGAAAAGCUUUCUUAACUCAGAGUAAGUUUCCUUUAAAAAUGGUUAAGGAUGAAGUGAACUUAUCAACAUGGGUAAUGGCAUCUGGAAGAUAUGUUAUUAGCUAUUUUAUAAAAAUUAUGCAUGUCAUGCAUGCAAUUUUUCCUUCGUGCAAAGAGAACCAUGAAAAUCUGAGAGACACAGAAAAAUGUUUAAAUAAAGUGAGACCAUGACUGAAAUAAAUUUAAAAUGAGUUCAAAUGUUUUAUGCAUGCAAUAAAAAAAUAAAUAAAAACAAUUAGGCUACAUUUGCAUGUCCCAAAUUAUAUGACACAGAAUCAAACGACCAAAAUUUAGCUCUUACUGACAUUAAAAUUCAAAUGUGAAAUGGGGGAAAAAAUAGUUGAAAAUAUUUACUGUAAAUAAUGUGGUGGGAUGAAUGGAUAUUUUCUAUUUUGCCCUGACCUUGUUACAUUCAACUCAUAAUUAAUGCAGCAACACGUUUAUAUUUUGUGGGUUUUUCCUUUUUAAAUAUACGUUUAUUACAAGGGACACUAAGGGAAACUCCACUCAAUUCAAAGUUUGAGUACAUGCAUUUCCAGCACUGGUGCGGUAUUGAAAUGAUAGCUUAUAGAUAAAUGACUGUUUACACUUUGCAAGGGUGUAACCACAUAUUUAGAUUUGGGACUUUUAUGAUCAUGAUUAGAAAUGUGAAUAUUAGGGGACAUUAAUCCCCUAUAGUGGCCUCCCAUUGUCUGUAUGGUGGUAUUUUGAGCCUGGAUUUAUUUCAAGUUUUAUUUAAAAGACUGCCUUUUGGCAUACUGAAGAAAACAAUCAUUUUUAAAAAAAAUUUUUUAUUAAUAUCAACCACUUUUUAUAGCAUAAAAUCAAAUGCGAUUUGAUUUAUCCCUGUAACUUUCAACCCAGAAUUAAAGUCAAAAGUUGGUUGUUGCACAAGACAUGUUUUGAAAAAGAUAUUUCAUCAUGGAUUAUUCCUUUUUCAAAAAAAUAUCUGCUUUUAUUACAAAAAAAAAAUCACACUGAGGGUUACCAGAAUUCACUUAAGUCAAUGUUGACACGAAUUCCAAACCUACUAUGACAGUGUUGAAAUAAUGUAGCUAUAGUGUUAGUAAUGAUAAAAAACUAUUGAUGAUCAUUUGCAAGGCUAGGAUUUAGGAACCAGCAACAGAUAGUUCAUAAUGAAUAACCAGAAUUGAGAAUAUUAGAGUCCUAGUACUAUGUGCCAGCAAGAGUUGACUGAUUUAUUUAAGCCCAGCCCUAAUAGGAAAUGCCAUUGGACUGACUGAUUCUUGCCGUGUUACAUGCCUUGUCUCAAUAACAAAAACUCUUACUGUAUGUGUAUGACAUGCUCUGUUUUAAGUAGGGACCACCUUUGGAAUUCUGGGAACAUGAUCCAUCACAGGCAGAGUAAUCACAUAUGGCGUAUUUCCUGAGAGAGAGAGCCUGGAUGUGUUGUUGACUCUCUGAUAGUGUAUAUUCUGGAACAGCAAUAGCCAGGCUACUGCUUCCUGCCCAAUCUCAGCUUUUGUUGGCUUGUUUUUGAGAAGCUUGUGUGUGAACACUCUUAUUUGGACAUUUGCUGUGACUAAAAGUGAUCAGUUCUUUUUGUUGUAAACUUAGGAUGCUGAUCAGUGAUAAAGGAGAUGCUCAUGUGUCACUGAAAGAGGUAUUAAAGGACUUUAAAUGUUUAAGUCGAGGACUGCUGCUGCUGUUACUAAACACAACAGAGAGCGGAAAUGAGUCACUCGUUGAAAGGGAGCUUCAUUCUCCCAUGAGAUCUUCCUCUAAUCAGUAUUAUUCCUGAAAGAAAACACCCUUUCAAUAGAACAGCGCUAUCAAAGAGCAGAGCAACCAUGUUAACUGCUUCCUGUAUUUGCCAAACAAAACCUCAUGCCAUUGCAUCCUCAUUGUUUUAGUCUACAACAUUUGAGUUUUACAGAAAGAAAACGAUAAUAAGCUAAAUAAAAUGAUUCAAUAAUUUGCACGAAAAACUAUAUCUGCAAUAUGAAUUUCUUGUAAAGAAUGUGUUACAUUCUUUACUAGAAAUUCAUAUUGUACAAGUUGCAACCCUUCUUGUAAUAAAAAUGCUUAAAAAGCUUAAAAAUAUAUCUAGCAUGAUUCAAUAGCCGUAUUAUGCAAUUACAUAUGCUCAACCCAAUACAAAUAAACAAGUUGUGAAUGGUUAAAUAUUAAACAUUAAUGUGAAGG
Pimephales promelas (fathead minnow) is the source of this 2758-nucleotide non-coding RNA. Lineage: Eukaryota; Metazoa; Chordata; Actinopteri; Cypriniformes; Leuciscidae. The record is from RefSeq and is a predicted model, not a curated record.